AAGCAUCUGAAACGUGGUGAAACCGGUUUAGGGUGGGAUCCUAGUACAAAUAAGAUUAGUGGCUCCGAUGAGUGGUGGGAGAAAAAAAUCAAGGAGAACUCAGACUAUAAAAAAUUUCGUAAUAAAUCCAUUGAUACUGCAAUGGAAGAUUUGUGGUCUAAGUUAUUUGAAGAUAGCUAUGCAAAUGGUGAAGGUUGUGUUGCACCCACUAUGGAUCCUCAAUUAGUGCAACCAGUGGAUAUUGAGGAA
Molecule: long non-coding RNA, 249 nt
Organism: Ipomoea nil (Japanese morning glory)
Lineage: Eukaryota; Viridiplantae; Streptophyta; Magnoliopsida; Solanales; Convolvulaceae
Exons: 2
Source: RefSeq, a predicted model, not a curated record